This 75-nucleotide transfer RNA is filed under the name Felis catus (domestic cat). It matches the Rfam family "tRNA". From Rfam's summary of the family: Transfer RNA (tRNA) molecules are approximately 80 nucleotides in length. Their secondary structure includes four short double-helical elements and three loops (D, anti-codon, and T loops). Further hydrogen bonds mediate the characteristic L-shaped molecular structure. tRNAs have two regions of fundamental functional importance: the anti-codon, which is responsible for specific mRNA codon recognition, and the 3' end, to which the tRNAs corresponding amino acid is attached (by aminoacyl-tRNA synthetases). tRNAs cope with the degeneracy of the genetic code in two manners: having more than one tRNA (with a specific anti-codon) for a particular amino acid; and 'wobble' base-pairing, i.e. permitting non-standard base-pairing at the 3rd anti-codon position. RNAcentral also lists the same sequence under 4 other names. The record is from Rfam by way of RNAcentral. Lineage: Eukaryota; Metazoa; Chordata; Mammalia; Carnivora; Felidae.
GUCUGGCUGGCUCAGUCAGUAGAGCACAUGUGACUCUUGAUCUCGGGGUUGUGAGUUCGAUCCUCACGUUGAGCA